Drosophila virilis is the source of this 490-nucleotide long non-coding RNA. RefSeq lists it as uncharacterized. The record is from RefSeq and is a predicted model, not a curated record. NCBI's taxonomy places the organism in Eukaryota, Metazoa, Arthropoda, Insecta, Diptera, Drosophilidae.
GGCCAAAUCGAUGCAGUGCCAUACUAUACCUUGCUUGUCGCUAUAUCGGUUCAAAAAUGAAAGUCAUAUUAGCCAUAUAUUGUGUGUUCUUGUUGUUAAUCUCAACGGCAACUGGCGCAAAAAAUAACACUGCAAAGGAUAGAAACAAUGCUUUAAGGACGCGCAUAUGCUCAGCGCGUCCCGAAUAUGGUUUAUGUGAAGGACACCGCUCGUUAUGGUACUAUAAUCCAGGUCGAUCACGAUGCCAAUUGUUUGAUUACUCCAACUGUGGUGGCAAUCGCAAUAAGUUCUUCUCCGAAGAACAUUGCAUCAAUUUUUGUAAGAAAAAGAUGCUCAGCUAGUUUUGUUUAUAUAUCAGAAUAAUCGUUAUAUAUAUGCAAAGGUAGCUCAGGUUUUGUAAAUACAGCCCAAAAUAUGAAUAUCAAGAUCAAAUACAAUAAUACAAACUAUUUCUAAUCAAAGCGAAUUCAAUAAAAUUUGAUUAUAUAUA